CGUAAAGCUUGCGGGGAUGGCGGCCCCUGAAAACGGGCCUUAAUUGGGAACCGGGUGCAAGACCCGGACUGCCCCCGCAACUGUAAGCAGCGAAAACGGCCAGCGCGGCCCGAAGCUGUAAGUCAGGAUACCAACCAUCAAUCUGCAACCGCC
RNAcentral lists this non-coding RNA (153 nucleotides) under Roseobacter denitrificans. The record is from RNAcentral. Lineage: Bacteria; Pseudomonadati; Pseudomonadota; Alphaproteobacteria; Rhodobacterales; Roseobacteraceae.